GUUGGGAGGCACCUUGCCACUCAGCAGGCCCACAUUCAGGACGUGGACACCUUCUGAUGGGUGGGCUGUGCUGGGAGAGAGCAGCAGCCUGAAAGGGACUCCACAGACCCGCAAGGAAAAGAGAGGAAAGCGCUGCCUUCUGCCUCAAGGUUAAGAAGCCCUUUCACUGCUGAUGAAAACAUUUGAAGAACUUGGCCCAGAGCCUGGAGCUGGGAGAACCAGAGGCAUGGACCAAGGAGACAAUGGGAAGGAGCCAGUCGAGGAGGCAGAAGUUGAAAACACAGGAGACAAGGAGAGCGAAGCAGGAGAUCAGGUUCUCUGUCGGGAGAGAAGCAAGAAAGUGGAGCUGCAGGAGUUUCUGUAAGUGUCCAGGAGGGGCUGCGCAUCCUCCCAGGGCCGUCCGUGCUUGUGUCGUCUAAAAGCACAAGAGCUGAAAACUGCACGCUGGCGAUUCAACUCGCUGUGUCAAAUACCACACAAGGCCAACCCUGAACAAGACCAGAGAAACCUCCUGGAACAGGAAGCAGAGCGGUGGAAAAUGCCCACACUUUAGAGCCAGAUGGACGUGGGUCCAGUCUUGGCUCUUCUCCCACUCCCCGGGUGAUCUUGGGCAAUUUACUUCUCUUCCUUGAGUCUCAGUUGUCCCUUCUUCACUUUGACAACUUGGAACAGGGAACAGAGGGAGGCAAGGUCUGGAUUAAUUCUGAAGGAGAAGCUACCAGCCGCCCCUCUGGAGAGAUAGGAGAGUCAUGUUGGGGCAAGCCUUUUUCUUAUGAAGAGCUGCUGUUUGCCACCUUUUACUUAAAACUGUGUAUCUAUUUUGCAAACAGGCCCCUUGCCCGAGGUAUCAGAUCACUGUCUUUGUCAAAUAAAGGAAUAACAGGACUUUUUGCUUGACUUAGCUAGGGGGACCCUCACCAAGACCCCUUGAUAGGCAAUGUUCUGAAGGGGUGGGGGGGAGGAAAGGAACUAAGACCCCUACCCCUGGCUCCCUGAGAUUUAAACUUACAAAAACUUGUUGGGGUGUCAUUGACUAAAGUCUGAUGGCAAGAAAAGGACACCCCAGGCCACAAAAGGUUAUAGGGAAUCUGGGAUGGUGACCUCCACACAGGCGCAUAGAGGCAAUCCAGAGGCAGCCACCCUGGCACAGUGUCAACUCUGGGAAUGCGUAUGUGUAUUGAUUAAAAGCAUUGCCAACCUAAAGCCUGGCAUGUGGCACUACUGUGGGCUGGAAAGGACCUGUACCAGCAAGGGCAUCCCCAACAGACAGGGCAAGUGCGCGCUGACCUGAGCAAAAACAGUUUCCAACAGCGACACCUCGUGGCGGCAACUGAAACAACAGUGCUGGUGAGUAGGCUUGAGACGCAAUAUCGACCUCCUUGGACUAAGAAUUUACGCUUCUUGGAAAGUUUAAAGGGACAGCUCAAGAGGUAGAUGACUAGACUUCCUGCUAAUAAAGGUAGUGUUAUUAAAGGAGUU
Molecule: long non-coding RNA, 1479 nt
Filed under: Equus asinus (donkey)
Lineage: Eukaryota; Metazoa; Chordata; Mammalia; Perissodactyla; Equidae
Description: lncRNA (ENSEASG00005035631.1)
Source: RNAcentral